RNAcentral lists this ribosomal RNA (250 nucleotides) under uncultured bacterium. RNAcentral's name for it is "partial 16S ribosomal RNA". It matches the Rfam family "Bacterial small subunit ribosomal RNA", at positions 796 to 1041 of the family's 1533-position model. The record is from RNAcentral.
CACGCCGUAAACGAUGGAUGCUAGGUGUUGGUGGUAUCGACCCCAUCGGCGCCGUAGCUAACGCGUUAAGCAUCCCGCCUGAGGAUUACGGCCGCAAGGCUAAAACUCAAAGGAAUUGACGGGGGCCCGCACAAGCAGCGGAGCGUGUGGUUUAAUUCGAUGUAACACGAAGAACCUUACCAGGGUUUGACAUGUACGUGGUAGGGAUGUGAAAGCUGAACGACCCCUUCGGGGGAGCGUACACAGGUGC